UCCCUUUCAGCAUCACACCUGGAGAGUUUCCAAUACUCUACCAGUCUCGACUAUGGGAGGGAGAGUCAAGCAGAGGCAUACUCAUUCCAUUCCUGGUUCAACCAGUGGCUAGCGAGUGGAAGGCGACCUGCUACAAGU
This is a small nucleolar RNA of Ornithorhynchus anatinus (platypus), 138 nucleotides long. The record is from RefSeq and is a predicted model, not a curated record. Lineage: Eukaryota; Metazoa; Chordata; Mammalia; Monotremata; Ornithorhynchidae.